This 30-nucleotide non-coding RNA is filed under the name Mus musculus (house mouse). The record is from RNAcentral. Lineage: Eukaryota; Metazoa; Chordata; Mammalia; Rodentia; Muridae.
UGAGACUCAAUUGUGUCAAAUAGGCACAUG